GGACAUCGCUCAGUGGCUGAGCGUCUGCCUCACGUGCAGAAGGUCUUGGGUUCAAUCCCCGACAUCUCCC
Non-coding RNA from Podarcis lilfordi (Lilford's wall lizard), 70 nucleotides. Lineage: Eukaryota; Metazoa; Chordata; Lepidosauria; Squamata; Lacertidae. The record is from the annotation of a GenBank genome assembly.